CUGUGUUUUGCCGUAAAUGAGCGACUACUGCGUAUCCCGUCGUCCUGUGCGCCUCGAACAGAAUCCUGCUCGUCCCCCCGCCGCCGCCGGGUACCAUAGGGCUUUUUCCCACCGCCGCCGGCCACCAUGACGCCAUGCCCCAUCAACGCUCGCUAGCCCCGACUACACACAACCUAUUCAGCUCCACCUUGUGUGCCGAACCCGUUGCUCAGAUGAGAUCCACGCUCGACAGUACGAUGGGAGGCGACACAAAUCUCUCCCCACCGCCGCUGGAACCGGAGACUCUACGCGGCGAGGAGCAGGAUUGGGUGUCGGCGCUGGGGGAGUCAGUUUCCUUCGGACGUUUCCUCUCUGAGCCGCUGGAGUGGGUGCCAUGGCGCAAAUCCUAGUUGUGCGUCCGCCUACCAUGGGUCAUGUCCAAUCAUCACCAGCAGCUGAGCUCGAUCUAUCGGUAGAAGGCAAUUUGUCAGUGCCGGUUGCAGCGGUCGGAGCUCGAUCUGCCUCCUCCAACUGUGGUGAUAUGUGCAUUGAGGGUUAUCGCCCAACCAAUAGUUGUAAUACGGCGGCAGCCCGUUCAUCAGGAAGUGCAGCACAUAUGGGAGGAUCCGAGCUCUAUCUGGUUAGUUUAUCCUCUAAUCUUGUAGUGUUCAUGCAAAGAUCUAGUUUUCGGAAUAAGAUUGUUCUGUGAGUUGUUGUCGUCACAGGCUGCAAAGAAAUGUAGCCCUUAAUGAGCGGAAGCAUGCCAUGAAAGAUUGUGCAGAAGUUUGAGCAUAUAUAGGCAUGCAAGAAUGCGCUUCUUUGUUUGACAAAUUCCUUCAACGAGUCAUGGGUUAGUAUUAGGCAGGGGCUAGAGUAUCACAACUUCUAGGCUUGAUGUGGCAAAAAAUUUAAAACUGAAAGACAACUGAAGCUAUUCUCAGUUCCGAGCAACUCGAGUUAGAAAAUUUUAAAGGCCCUUUAUCAAUUUUUAUAUGCAUCGCUAUGCUAUUACACAAUUUCAUGACAUCUAGUAACUAGUAUCACAUCUAUUAAAUAGUAUCAAGCAGGCUGAGUACCUGUCUAAGCAUUAUCGCAAGAAUUUUGUUGUCCUCUAACAGUCUCAUCCUUAAGAUCUGACGCUUGGUACAUAAGCAUUUGUUGAUAGCUUGGCACAAAUUCUUCCCUGGCCAAUCAUUAGGGGGUUGCACAUAGACUCAAUUAGCAGAUGCCAUUAUAUUAUUAUUUUUCAUUCCAGUUAGUUAAGCCAAAGAUUUAUUUAUUAUUUUGCUUCACUAGUGAUAUGUAAGACUGAGAUUUGAAAGGUGCAUAAGCUUCCACACCAACAAUUGUUGGGAACAACCAGAAUCGAUCAUGCAUUCUUCGGUCAAAACAUUUUCUGGAUUUGAAAAUAGUAUGGGCGCAAAUAACUGGGCUCCUUAGGUGAAAAGAUACAGUGACUUUGCUGUCAUUUAACAAAUAUUAUGAAUUAAUAAGAUGUCAACACUGUUAUUCUGAAUAAAAGAACGAUGAUGUGGAGGGGGAGUAACAAUAAUUUCAUACUUGGCAAGCUGAACUCAGUACAUGUUCAGUUGUUCACUGCUACGUUGUUGCUUAUGUAUGUGCCAGUAGGGUUGUACUGCUGUCCAAGUUCUUGCCAUUUCAAAUUUUUAUGGUGCGGCUACAUGUAGCUUCAGAUGCUUGUUAUAGCUAAUUGCCAGGAUAGUUAAGCUUACAUUCUUAGCUUUGUGGUUUGUUGGUGUCCAGUGCACAUGCUAAUGGUGACUUGUAGGGCAAAUAAAUUAGAUGCAAAAUUAUGAUUGACGGCUAUGCAGCGAAAUCAGAACUAGUGGCUCCUAUCAUGUGACGAAUGUAUUUGGAAAAAGAAACUCAGGAAGGAACUAUGUACAAGUGCACAAAGGAGUUUUGCUCAGGCAGAAAGCAAAAUUGAAAAAGGCAUGCAACAGGUUUUUCAGAUUAAUAUUCUGCAAUCAUAAAUAUCAUGUUCAAUUAGAACUGCAGAUCUUUCUCUGAAAGGAUGUCAUAUUGUGAACAACAACCUUUUGUAUCUACAACAAAAUUUUGCUAUCUGCACUUACUUGCAACAGCUGCAUAAUUUUCUCUCAUUUUCCUCGCGGUGGAUCUUCUUUUUCUUUAAUUGUGCAGCACCAACAACUGCCGAUUUAAUUACCACUGUCGUUUCCACAGACAUGAGCAGGCUGUUACGAAGAAGGUGAACAACCUGGACCUAGGCGGCGAGGGGGAGCUCGGGAAGGCUAUGGGACCUGAGAGCAUCUUCAAGUCCAGGUUAUGCAUGAGCUUUCUCUCCAGCGAGUCAUGCGCCUUCGGCGGCAGAUGCUCCUUUCGCCCGUGCCAAUGUUGAGUUGCGCAGUCCUGCUGCAUCUCAAGAAGUCGAAGACCAAGUGGUUCUCAUGGUGUUCAUGAUGAUUAUGCGUCUGUUAUUUUGCGGAAAUGCCUAAACAAAAAACUUUUCUUGUCUAUUUUUUGUCGUAGUCCAUUUUUUCGGUUCAAUGAAUUCAUGAUAGGCAAGGCAUAAAAAAUGGAGUGAACAGAAAUUCAUUUGUAAACUCGAGAUAUUAAUAUUAGAGCAUCAAGCAUGUAAAUCGCUGUACUAAUGAGGCAGCCCAUGUUUUGGCAAAAUCUGGUGAAGAUGAUGCUAGGUCCUGCUUGUAUAAUACUGUACCUGAUGUUAUCAGGAGAUUGUUUGUAAUGAUGAGAUUAUGAAUGAAUGAAAGGGUUCUGCCCAUUGUCCCAAAA
Triticum aestivum (bread wheat) is the source of this 2754-nucleotide long non-coding RNA. RefSeq lists it as uncharacterized. The transcript has 2 exons. The record is from RefSeq and is a predicted model, not a curated record. NCBI's taxonomy places the organism in Eukaryota, Viridiplantae, Streptophyta, Magnoliopsida, Poales, Poaceae.